CGCGGGGUGUUGAAACGGCAUCAUCUUGGGCUCAUAAUCCAAGGUUGCGGGUUCGAAUCCCGCCCCCGCAA
This 71-nucleotide transfer RNA is filed under the name bacterium. RNAcentral describes it as "tRNA-Met". It matches the Rfam family "tRNA". From Rfam's summary of the family: Transfer RNA (tRNA) molecules are approximately 80 nucleotides in length. Their secondary structure includes four short double-helical elements and three loops (D, anti-codon, and T loops). RNAcentral also lists the same sequence under 1 other name. The record is from RNAcentral.